CGAACGCUGGCGGCGUGCUUAACACAUGCAAGUCGAACGGUGAAGCGCCUUCCUUUUUGGUGGGUGUGGAUGAGUGGCGAACGGGUGAGUAACACGUGAGUAACCUGCCCCCUUCUUCUGGAUAACCGCAUGAAAGUGUGGCUAAUACGGGAUAUUCUGGGUCUGUCGCAUGAUGGGUCUGGGAAAGAUAUUGUUUCGGUGGGGGAUGGGCUCGCGGCCUAUCAGCUUGUUGGUGGGGUGAUGGCCUACCAAGGCGGUGACGGGUAGCCGGCCUGAGAGGGUGGACGGUCACACUGGGACUGAGACACGGCCCAGACUCCUACGGGAGGCAGCAGUGGGGAGUAUUGCACAAUGGGCGCAAGCCUGAUGCAGCGACGCCGCGUGAGGGAUGGAGGCCUUCGGGUUGUGAACCUCUUUCGCCAGUGAAGCAGGCCUGCCUCGUUUGUGGGUGGGUUGACGGUAGCUGGAUAAGAAGCGCCGGCUAACUACGUG
Molecule: ribosomal RNA, 492 nt
Filed under: uncultured bacterium
Lineage: Bacteria
Description: partial 16S ribosomal RNA
Rfam family: Bacterial small subunit ribosomal RNA
Source: RNAcentral